GACGAACGCUGGCGGCGUGCUUAACACAUGCAAGUCGAACGGACAGACAGAGAGCUUGCUCUCUUGAAGUUAGUGGCGAACGGGUGAGUAACGCGUAAUCAACCUGCCCUUCAGAGGGGGAUAACAACGGGAAACCGUUGCUAAUACCGCGUACGAUUCAUGAACGGCAUCGUUUAUGAAUGAAAGGUGGCCUCUAUGUAUAAGCUAUCGCUGAAGGAGGGGAUUGCGUCUGAUUAGCUAGUUGGUGGGGUAACGGCCCACCAAGGCAAUGAUACGUGGUACGGCUGGGUAAACGGACGGCCACAUUGGGACUCAGAACCAGCCCAAACUCCUACGGGAGGCAGCAGUGGGGAACCUUCCGCAAUGGACGAAAGUCUGACGGAACUACGACGCGUGAGUGAUGAAGUUUUUCGGAUUGUAAAGCUCUGUUAAUCGGGACGAAAGAGUGCUGCGUGAAUAAUGCAGAAAAGUGACGGUACCGGAAUAGAAAGCCACGGCUAACUACGUGCCAGCCGCCGCCGUAA
Molecule: ribosomal RNA, 524 nt
Filed under: uncultured bacterium
Lineage: Bacteria
Description: partial 16S ribosomal RNA
Rfam family: Bacterial small subunit ribosomal RNA
Source: RNAcentral